GAUUUGUUGGACGCUAGCGGCGGAUGGGUGAGUAACACGUGGGCAAUCUGCCCUAAAGACUGGGAUACCACUUGGAAACAGGUGCUAAUACCGGAUAACAACAUGAAUCGCAUGAUUCAAGUUUGAAAGGCGGCGCAAGCUGUCACUUUAGGAUGAGCCCGCGGCGCAUUAGCUAGUUGGUGGGGUAAAGGCCUACCAAGGCAAUGAUGCGUAGCCGAGUUGAGAGACUGAUCGGCCACAUUGGGACUGAGACACGGCCCAAACUCCUACGGGAGGCAGCAGUAGGGAAUCUUCCACAAUGGACGCAAGUCUGAUGGAGCAACGCCGCGUGAGUGAAGAAGGUCUUCGGAUCGUAAAGCUCUGUUGUUGGUGAAGAAGGAUAGAGGCAGUAACUGGUCUUUAUUUGACGGUAAUCAACCAGAAAGUCACGGCUAACUACGUGCCAGCAGCCGCGGUAAUACGUAGGUGGCAAGCGUUGUCCGGAUUUAUUGGGCGUAAAGCGAGCGCAGGCGGAAUGAUAAGUCUGAUGUGAAAGCCCACGGCUCAACCGUGGAACUGCAUCGGAAACUGUCAUUCUUGAGUGCAGAAGAGGAGAGUGGAACUCCAUGUGUAGCGGUGGAAUGCGUAGAUAUAUGGAAGAACACCAGUGGCGAAGGCGGCUCUCUGGUCUGCAACUGACGCUGAGGCUCGAAAGCAUGGGUAGCGAACAGGAUUAGAUACCCUGGUAGUCCAUGCCGUAACGAUGAGCGCUAGGUGUUGGGGGACUUUCCGGUCCUCAGUGCCGCAGCAAACGCAUUAAGCGCUCCGC
This 808-nucleotide ribosomal RNA is filed under the name Lactobacillus delbrueckii subsp. lactis. RNAcentral describes it as "bacterial SSU rRNA". It matches the Rfam family "Bacterial small subunit ribosomal RNA", at positions 77 to 872 of the family's 1533-position model. The record is from RNAcentral. Lineage: Bacteria; Bacillati; Bacillota; Bacilli; Lactobacillales; Lactobacillaceae.